AGGGCCAAAAUAUGUUGUAGACUCGUUGUCAUUAUGAUCUUGAUUCACGUCCCUUAGUCUCCAAGAUCUGUUGAAGCUUCAGAGUUCAACAUUUUCUUGUCGAAGGGUUGAAAUCUCUUGAGCGUGUUGGCGACGCAUCUCGAAAAGUUGUUCUUGCAACUGCCACACAAACGAGGACAAAUUGGUCUCAACAUGUACUUCAUCAUCGUUAUCUUGUUGCUGCGUU
RNAcentral lists this long non-coding RNA (226 nucleotides) under Glycine max (soybean). Its description in RNAcentral is "long non-coding RNA (GMAX_LNC003511)". The record is from RNAcentral. Lineage: Eukaryota; Viridiplantae; Streptophyta; Magnoliopsida; Fabales; Fabaceae.